CCAUUCUCUCCCUGUCCUCAUAUUACACUUAUAUUACACAUAUUUCCAAAGGGCUGAUGAUGAAGCAUGCUACCCAUCUGUUGCAUGAAAAGUCUAUUAGCCAUUGCCAAUAAACUAGGACAAGUCAAAGAUUUUGCUUCCGUUUAUUCACUUAGGCUGUGGCAUACUCCAACGUACUUUAUGGAAAUAUGUGUCAUUCACAAUUCAGCUAGUGGUAUAUAUGUUUCAUGAGACAAAUCAGCAAGAUGACUAUUCAUUAUAAUAUAGCAGGGAAUACAGAGAGGGGAAGGGUGUGCUCAUUAAGAAGAACAGAAUAUAUGUGAGGGGGGAGUUAUAUUAUGUGUGCAAUAUACGAAAUAGUAUAUAUAUAAUUAGCUAUGGAAGAGUAAGAGGAGAUUUGUCCUUGUUUGUAUAGCUAGUUGACUAAAUAAACAAAAUUAUAUAUCAUCUAUCAAACUACUUAAGGGAGGGAAACUUUUAAACUCUUUAAAAAUAUUUUUUUACAACAACUAAGUCUUUUGGUAUCAAUUAGAGAAACAAACAGUAAAGGAAGUCAUUUAUUGAAGUUAGUCUUGCAGUUCAUUCAAAGGUCAUUGUGUCAAGGAAGCUCAUCCCCUCCCCCUCCCUGAGUAACUUUACAUGUCCAUCAAACAUUCCUGACAUGCUACAGUUGUGCCAGGUUUGCGUUGGCUUGUGUCUGUAUGUCAAUAAAAGUGAAGGUUUGGGGCAGGACGGGGGAGACCAACAAGAGAACGGGGGAGACCAACGAGAAAAAGGGAGAGAUGGAUGAGAAGACCAUGAGGGAAGCCUCAGGAGAAAGGACAGUGCAGAAGGUGUGCAGUGGUCAAUUCUGUUUGGCCAAUUCCUUCCACCCUCCACACUGGACCUAAUCAGAGGGAUCAAGGAACCAAACAGAAAACUCUAGUCAUGCGUGAGACUAGAGUACAUGUGGAACCAGCGUUAGCCCAGCCACAAAGUCACCAGAAUCUUGACCAACGUGUAAGUUCAGCUCUACACGUGUUCCAUGGGGAAACUCCCAAAGACCUCAGUGCAGCAGAACAAAAUGGCACCCCUCAUUUCUCCCAUUACAUACAGAUAAGGAAACUGGCA
RNAcentral lists this long non-coding RNA (1110 nucleotides) under Monodelphis domestica (gray short-tailed opossum). Its description in RNAcentral is "lncRNA (ENSMODG00000043198.1)". The record is from RNAcentral. Lineage: Eukaryota; Metazoa; Chordata; Mammalia; Didelphimorphia; Didelphidae.